ACAACCAGUAGCACUGGAUCCCUUGGCACGUCAUUCGAUGAAGAACGUAGCAAUCUGCGAUAAGUGGUGUGAUAUGCAAGUCCACAGCUUAUACGUGAACCAUUGAAUCUUUGAACGCACUGCACUAUCCGGACGACACCCCCGUGAUAGUAUGCCCCGUUGAGCGUCAU
RNAcentral lists this ribosomal RNA (170 nucleotides) under uncultured Tulasnellaceae. RNAcentral's name for it is "5.8S ribosomal RNA". It matches the Rfam family "5.8S ribosomal RNA". From Rfam's summary of the family: 5.8S ribosomal RNA (5.8S rRNA) is a component of the large subunit of the eukaryotic ribosome. It is transcribed by RNA polymerase I as part of the 45S precursor that also contains 18S and 28S rRNA. Lineage: Eukaryota; Fungi; Basidiomycota; Agaricomycetes; Cantharellales; Tulasnellaceae. The record is from RNAcentral.